CCUACGGGCGGCAGCAGUGAGGAAUAUUGGUCAAUGGACGAGAGUCUGAACCAGCCAAGUAGCGUGAAGGAUGACUGCCCCAUGGGUUGUAAACUUCUUUUAUAUGGGAAUAAAACGUUCCACGUGUGGGAUUUUGUAUGUACCAUAUGAAUAAGGAUCGGCUAACUCCGUGCCAGCAGCCGCGGUAAUACGGAGGAUCCGAGCGUUAUCCGGAUUUAUUGGGUUUAAAGGGAGCGUAGGUGGAUUGUUAAGUCAGUUGUGAAAGUUUGCGGCUCAACCGUAAAAUUGCAGUUGAAACUGGCAGUCUUGAGUACAGUAGAGGUGUGCGGAAUUCGUGGUGUAGCGGUGAAAUGCUUAGAUAUCACGAAGAACUCCGAUUGCGAAGGCAGUUCACUGGACUGCAACUGACACUGAGGCUCGAAAGUGUGGGUAUCAAACAGGAUUAGAUACCCUUGUAGUC
This 460-nucleotide ribosomal RNA is filed under the name uncultured bacterium. Its description in RNAcentral is "partial 16S ribosomal RNA". It matches the Rfam family "Bacterial small subunit ribosomal RNA", at positions 338 to 795 of the family's 1533-position model. The record is from RNAcentral.